GCCCAAGUAGCUCAGUGGUGGAGCACAUCCUUGGUAAGGAUGAGGUCGGCGGUUCAAUCCCGCUCUUGGGCU
Molecule: transfer RNA, 72 nt
Filed under: Chitinispirillales bacterium
Lineage: Bacteria; Pseudomonadati; Fibrobacterota; Chitinispirillia; Chitinispirillales
Description: tRNA-Thr
Rfam family: tRNA
About the family: Transfer RNA (tRNA) molecules are approximately 80 nucleotides in length.
Source: RNAcentral